This 209-nucleotide ribosomal RNA is filed under the name uncultured Pseudomonas sp. Its description in RNAcentral is "partial 16S ribosomal RNA". It matches the Rfam family "Bacterial small subunit ribosomal RNA", at positions 1174 to 1382 of the family's 1533-position model. The record is from RNAcentral. Lineage: Bacteria; Pseudomonadati; Pseudomonadota; Gammaproteobacteria; Pseudomonadales; Pseudomonadaceae.
UGGGGAUGACGUCAAGUCAUCAUGGCCCUUACGGCCUGGGCUACACACGUGCUACAAUAGGUCGGUACAAAGGGUUGCCAAGCCGCGAGGUGGAGCUAAUCCCAUAAACCGAUCGUAGUCCGGAUCGCAGUCUGCAACUCGACUGCGUGAAGUCGGAAUCGCUAGUAAUCGUGAAUCAGAAUGUCACGGUGAAUACGUUCCCGGGCCUU